Molecule: long non-coding RNA, 844 nt
Organism: Topomyia yanbarensis
Lineage: Eukaryota; Metazoa; Arthropoda; Insecta; Diptera; Culicidae
Exons: 3
Source: RefSeq, a predicted model, not a curated record
CGUGAAACAUCACGUAAAUCCAACAAAAUACUUUUUCGGUUCAGUUUACCUGACAAAGUUACCCCGUCACUGUUACGUGAAAAUCACGUACUCGCUCUAAUUCGUUUUGAUCUGUUCAUUCUUCGAUGUAUAACUAGCAAGAUGGCGUCUAUUCAAAACAAAGUGAUCUGCUCACAUAUUUGUGUAUUAAACAACUUGAAUUGGAAAUAUUUGAAGAAUGUAGAAAUAUUCGGCACUGGAUAAGCUUAUUUCCUCUUGGCGAAUCCCAAAGCGGUGAUAGAGCACCAAAUGGAUCCGGACAUGAAUCAAAUAAUCGAUUAAUCACCUCGUCCUCCACCACCCGGAGGAAGAUUCGUAAAACAAUAGAUUACUGCAUAAUGAGAAAUCCACAACAGAAUCACAAUUCAAAAAGCAGGCUCUGUUGUGAUUCCACCAACUAGUAGCAGACAAGGUGAGUAUUUUUGUUAUUACAAUGCGACAGAACUUCUUCUAUCUGCGGAACUGUCACCCACAAGUCCAGCCGGCAGCUGACUGCCGCUAGUAUAUGGCCCUAGUGACACAACUGAUUCUAAUUAGGAUCAAACGAGGAUUUUUUCAGAAUUCCGUUUGUAGUGUAAAGUAUCGCUUUCUCCUCCGAGUAUUCUUAGUACCACGAUUGUGUUCGCUGCAGCAUCUGAUCUUUUAGAAACAUCCUUCCUAAAUAGUUUGUGUUUUGACAUUGUUGAAGAUAUAUUCAAGUGCACCCGAGCUAGUUUAUCCGCAAUGGCGAUUUUGCGUAAGUUUCAACGUGGCUGAGUAUCCGCUGAUCUCUUUAGUCUGGCAAGUUGUAUACAAUAUUCGCAAA